UCGAACGAGAAAGCCCGCAAGGGUGAGUAAAGUGGCGUACGGGUGAGUAACACGUGGGUAAUCUGCUCUUUGGUGGGGAAUAACCCUGGGAAACCGGGACUAACACCGCAUAAGCUCGCAAGAGGAAAAGAGAAAUCUGCCGAAGAAGGAGCCCGCGGCUGAUUAGCUAGUUGGUGGGGUAAAGGCUCACCAAGGCGAAGAUCGGUAGCCGGCCUGAGAGGGCACACGGCCACACUGGCACUGAAACACGGGCCAGACUCCUACGGGAGGCAGCAGUGGGGAAUCUUGCACAAUGGGGGAAACCCUGAUGCAGCGACGCCGCGUGAGCGAUGAAGCCCUUCGGGGUGUAAAGCUCUUUCGGCAGGAACGAUAAUGACGGUACCUGAAGAAGAAGCUGCGGCUAACUACGUGCCAGCAGCCGCGGUAAUACGUAGGCAGCGAGCGUUG
RNAcentral lists this ribosomal RNA (447 nucleotides) under uncultured bacterium. RNAcentral describes it as "bacterial SSU rRNA". It matches the Rfam family "Bacterial small subunit ribosomal RNA", at positions 62 to 543 of the family's 1533-position model. The record is from RNAcentral.